RNAcentral lists this long non-coding RNA (1189 nucleotides) under Homo sapiens (human). Its description in RNAcentral is "non-protein coding lnc-NKD2-3:2". Lineage: Eukaryota; Metazoa; Chordata; Mammalia; Primates; Hominidae. The record is from RNAcentral.
GAAUGGGUGAGUUUGUGAACGAGUGGGCAAGUUAGUGUGUGAGUGGGCGAGUUAGUGUGUGAAGCAGUGGGCAAGUUUGUGAAUGAGUGGGUGAGUUACUGUGUGAAUGAGUGGGCAUGUGAAUGAGUCGAUGAGUUAGUGUGUGAAUGGGUGUGUGAACGAGUGGCUGAGUUAGUGUGUGAAUGGGUUAGUGUGUGAAUGAGGGAUUUUGUGAAUGGGUGUGUGAACGAGUGGGUGAGUUAGUGUGUGAAUGAGUGGGUGUGUGAAUGAGUGGGUGAGUUGGUGUGUGAAAGAGUGGGUUAGUGCAUGAAUGGGUGGGUUAGUGUGUGAAUGGGUUGUGAACGAGUGGGUGAGUUAGUGUGUGAAUGAGUGGGUGACUGUGUGAAUGAAUGGGUUAGUGUGUGAAUGAGUGGGUGAGUUAGUGUGUGAACGAGUGGGCGAGUUUGUGAAUGAGUGGGGGAGUUAGUGUGUGAAUGAGUGGGUGAGUUAGUGUGUGAAUGGGUGUGUGAAUGAGUGGGCUAGUGUGUGAAUGAGUGGGUGUGUGAACGAGUGGGUGAGUUAGUGUGUGAAUGAAUGGGUUAGUGUGUGAAUGGGUUAGUGUGAGUGAGUCAGUGGGUUAGUGUAUGAAUGAAUGAGUGGGUGGGUUAGUGUGUGAGUGGGUUAGUGUGAAAGAGUGGGCGAGUUAGUGUGUCAAUGAGUGGGCGAGUUUGAAUGUGUGUGAACAAGUGGGUGAGUUAGUGUGUGAAUGAGUGGGUUAGUGUGUGAAUGAGUGGGUGUGUGAACGAGUGGGUGAGUUACUGUGAAUGAAUGGGUGGGUUAGUGUGUAAAUGAAUGGGUGAGUUAGUGUGUGAGUGGGUUAGUGUGUGAAUGAGUCAGUGGGUUAGUGUGUGAAUGGGGGUUAGUGUGUGAAUGGAUGAGUUAGUGUGUGAAUGAGUGGGUUAGUGUGUGAAUGAGUCGGUGGGUUAGUGUGUGAAUGAGUGGGUUAGUGUGUGAGAGUGUGUGAGGGUGUGUGAAUGAGGGGGUUAGUGUGAACGAGUGGGCGAGUUUGUGAAUGAGUGGGCGAGUUAGUGUGUGAAUGAGUGGGUGUGUGAAUGAGUGGAUGUUAUUGUGUGAAUGAGUGGGUGUGUGAACGAGUGGGUUAGUGUGUGAAUGAGUGGGUGAGUUAGCGUGUGAAUGAGGGAUUUAGUGU